RNAcentral lists this ribosomal RNA (253 nucleotides) under uncultured bacterium. Its description in RNAcentral is "partial 16S ribosomal RNA". It matches the Rfam family "Bacterial small subunit ribosomal RNA", at positions 524 to 776 of the family's 1533-position model. The record is from RNAcentral.
UACAGAGGGGGCAAGCGUUAUUCGGAAUUAUUGGGCGUAAAGGGCGCGUAGGCGGCUUUGCAAGUGACGGGUGAAAUCCCUCGGCUUAACCGAGGAACUGCCUGUCAAACUGCAUGGCUUGAGACCGGGAGAGGUGAGUGGAAUUCCCAGUGUAGCGGUGAAAUGCGUAGAUAUUGGGAGGAACACCAGUGGCGAAGGCGGCUCACUGGACCGGUACUGACGCUGAUGCGCGAAAGCGUGGGGAGCGAUCCGG